AAAAUUUUGGCAGUGCCCAAGAAACAAAAGAUUGAAGCUAUCAAUUCAUCCUGAUAUGAUACGUCUCUUUGUAUUGCUGUUCAUAGCAUACUCCUAAUAUAGACUUUGAAGAAGAAUGACAGAGAAGACAGGGAACAGAUAGAGGCCAGAGAACUGGAUACCAGGGUUGAUAAGGUCUGCAGAUGGAUUGGCUUGGUGUGUGCGUGUCUUGUGCCCAAAGAACAGGACACAGGACUCCUGCUGCUGCAUUCAUCCACCACUGCUGAGUUUGGUGAAGCGAAUAAUUUUGUGUAGGUGGUCUCAGGUUGGGUCCAUCACUGCAAGAUGAGGUGGUCCAGAAUUUGAACUGGGCAUGUUAGAUUUGACCCGAGCUGGACUGCUGAAAAUUUUCAUGUGGAGCCAUCUUAGUGCUUCUCCAUUACUCUUCUCUGAUAUGUGCUACUAUGGUGGCAGUGAGAUACUGCUGCAUGGCAGGAAACAUAACCGAGUUAGAUUUGAUUAAGAGAAAAACUAAUAAAUCAAAGUCAGAAGUUGAAAGAAUAAGCCUUCUAUAAGGAUAAGAAGAAGAAUGUCUUCUUUCCAACAAGAAAGAAGAAGAGUGACAGAGAGAAGAAAAUUCUGAGUUUGACCUCUAUUGUCUUGUACAUCAGCAAGUCCUACAUCAAUUUUUCCGCUCUGCUUGAUUUGAGUCAUAAGCAAUACUAUUUAUUUGUUACUGAAGCCUUAUUUUCAGAUGCAAAUAGCAACACAAUCUAAAUUAUUUAGGCCACAAUUAAUUGCAUGUGACAACAAUUUAAUACCUAUUCAAUCAGCUCUCACUCUGGCUUAGAAUCAACACAAGGGAUGCUGUACUUCUUAACACUAUCACUUCAGCAUGCAUGAGUUUGAAAUGUGGUUGCUAUUGGCAUAUGGCAUGGUGUGAUGAGCUCAGAGGUUUUGGUUUUGGACUUGGUCGAGGCAUGCAGGUACGAGGCAGCAGGAGAAGAAAUACCAUGAUCUUGGCGUUUUCUUUGAGAAGGAGAGGCCAAUCCUGCAGACUGAGAGGUCACUGACGAGCAAGACGACGAGAAGAAAAAGGUUAAACAAGAGAUUACAACCCCCGCCUGCUCCUUCUGCAGCCACGCGUGCCUCCCUCUCUGUCUCUCCCUCUCCUAUCUUACCCAGAGGAAAUGACGAAAGGUGUUCCACAGGAGCCUCAGACAAGGCGCUGUCCUCUGAGACGAGCAAAAAGCCAUCACGAGCUUCUGAACAAUCACAAGCCGCCCUAUUCAGGUUGCAGAAACAGAGAGAGAGAGAGA
RNAcentral lists this long non-coding RNA (1298 nucleotides) under Musa acuminata (dwarf banana). RNAcentral describes it as "long non-coding RNA (MACU_LNC002338)". The record is from RNAcentral. Lineage: Eukaryota; Viridiplantae; Streptophyta; Magnoliopsida; Zingiberales; Musaceae.